AUUGAACGCUGGCGGCAGGCUUAACACAUGCAAGUCGAGGGGCUGAAGGGAGGUUGCUCCCGGUUUCAGUGGCGGACGGGUGAGUAGUGCCUAGGAGUCUACCUACCUGUGCGGGAUAAAGGCCGUAAACGGGCGCUAGUACCGCAUACGUCCUGUGUUGGAAAGUGUGGGAUAUUCGUACCGGACGCUGUCAGAGGAGCCUGGGUCGGAUUAGCUAGUUGGUGGGGUAAAGGCCUACCAAGGCGACGAUCCGUAACUGGUCUGAGAGGAUGAUCAGUCACACUGGAACUGAGACACGGUCCAGACUACUACGGGAGGCAGCAGUGGGGAAUAUUGGACAAUGGGCGAAAGCCUGACCGAGCCAUGCCGAGUGUGUGAAGAAGGUCUUCGGAUUGUAAAGCUCUGUUAGUUGGGAGGAAGGGAAGUGUGUUCAACUGUUGAUGUUUUGACGGUACCAAAUGAAUAAGCACCGGCUAACUUCGUG
RNAcentral lists this ribosomal RNA (484 nucleotides) under uncultured bacterium. Its description in RNAcentral is "partial 16S ribosomal RNA". It matches the Rfam family "Bacterial small subunit ribosomal RNA", at positions 30 to 507 of the family's 1533-position model. The record is from RNAcentral.